RNAcentral lists this unclassified non-coding RNA (221 nucleotides) under Hevea brasiliensis (rubber tree). The record is from RNAcentral. Lineage: Eukaryota; Viridiplantae; Streptophyta; Magnoliopsida; Malpighiales; Euphorbiaceae.
UUUACUGAUGAAGAUAUUAAGCAGGUACCUGAGAUAUAAUCCUAAUUAAUAUUUGAUAAGUUCAUUUCCUUGUAUGCUUUAGAUGAAUGGAAAGUCCCCUUAAUAAUAUGUUAAACAUGGGGACCUAACAUUAAUGAUUGCCUAAUGAUUCUUAAAGUAGUGCUCGUUAUUUAAAUAAGCCUGAUUUAAUCUAUUAAUACAUCACAUGAGUGUAUCUGAUC